This 488-nucleotide ribosomal RNA is filed under the name Pichia kudriavzevii. RNAcentral's name for it is "eukaryotic LSU rRNA". The stretch from base 110 to 262 matches the Rfam family "5.8S ribosomal RNA". Lineage: Eukaryota; Fungi; Ascomycota; Pichiomycetes; Pichiales; Pichiaceae. The record is from RNAcentral.
GGGUAAAGGGGGAUUAGUACUACACUGCGUGAGCGGAACGAAAACAACAACACCUAAAAUGUGGAAUAUAGCAUAUAGUCGACAAGAGAAAUCUACGAAAAACAAACAAAACUUUCAACAACGGAUCUCUUGGUUCUCGCAUCGAUGAAGAGCGCAGCGAAAUGCGAUACCUAGUGUGAAUUGCAGCCAUCGUGAAUCAUCGAGUUCUUGAACGCACAUUGCGCCCCUCGGCAUUCCGGGGGGCAUGCCUGUUUGAGCGUCGUUUCCAUCUUGCGCGUGCGCAGAGUUGGGGGAGCGGAGCGGACGACGUGUAAAGAGCGUCGGAGCUGCGACUCGCCUGAAAGGGAGCGAAGCUGGCCGAGCGAACUAGACUUUUUUUCAGGGACGCUUGGCGGCCGAGAGCGAGUGUUGCGAGACAACAAAAAGCUCGACCUCAAAUCAGGUAGGAAUACCCGCUGAACUUAAGCAUAUCAAUAAGCGGAAGAAAA